This 922-nucleotide ribosomal RNA is filed under the name uncultured Bacteroidota bacterium. Its description in RNAcentral is "bacterial SSU rRNA". It matches the Rfam family "Bacterial small subunit ribosomal RNA", at positions 1 to 916 of the family's 1533-position model. The record is from RNAcentral. Lineage: Bacteria; Pseudomonadati; Bacteroidota.
GGAUCCAGACUUUGAUUCUGGCUCAGGAUGAACGCUAGCUACAGGCCUAACACAUGCAAGUCGAGGGGAAACGGCAGCUUAGCUUGCUAAGCUGGACGUCGACCGGCGCACGGGUGAGUAACGCGUAUCCAACCUGCCCCACGGUGAGGGAUAACCCGCGGAAACGCGGCCUAAUACCUCAUGGUCUCCGAGCUUGCCAUCAACCUUGGAGUAAAGAUUCAUUGCCGUGGGAUGGGGAUGCGUCUGAUUAGCUUGUUGGCGGGGCAACGGCCCACCAAGGCAACGAUCAGUAGGGGUUCUGAGAGGAAAGCCCCCCACAUUGGAACUGAGACACGGUCCAAACUCCUACGGGAGGCAGCAGUGAGGAAUAUUGGUCAAUGGGCGAGAGCCUGAACCAGCCAAGUAGCGUGCAGGAAGACGGCCCUAUGGGUUGUAAACUGCUUUUAUGCGGGGAUAAAGCGGGCGACGUGUCGCCCUUUGCAGGUACCGCAUGAAUAAGGACCGGCUAAUUCCGUGCCAGCAGCCGCGGUAAUACGGAAGGUCCGGGCGUUAUCCGGAUUUAUUGGGUUUAAAGGGAGCGCAGGCCGGGAAUUAAGCGUGUUGUGAAAUGUAGGCGCCCAACGUCUGCACCGCAGCGCGAACUGGUGCCCUUGAGUACGCACGACGUUGGCGGAAUUCGCCGUGUAGCGGUGAAAUGCUUAGAUAUGGCGAAGAACUCCGAUUGCGAAGGCAGCUGACGGGAGCGCUACUGACGCUCAUGCUCGAAAGCGCGGGUAUCGAACAGGAUUAGAUACCCUGGUAGUCCGCGCGGUAAACGAUGGAUGCCCGCUAUUUGCGCAUUAGCGCAAGUGGCCAAGUGAAAACGUUAAGCAUCCCACCUGGGGAGUACGCCGGCAACGGUGCAACUCAAAGGAAUUGACGG